This 1987-nucleotide ribosomal RNA is filed under the name Campylobacter jejuni. Its description in RNAcentral is "partial 23S ribosomal RNA". It matches the Rfam family "Bacterial large subunit ribosomal RNA", at positions 951 to 2925 of the family's 2925-position model. Lineage: Bacteria; Pseudomonadati; Campylobacterota; Epsilonproteobacteria; Campylobacterales; Campylobacteraceae. The record is from RNAcentral.
AAACUCCGAAUACCUUAUAUGUAAUCACAGCAGUCAGGCGGCGAGUGAUAAAAUCCGUCGUCAAGAGGGAAACAACCCAGACUACCAGCUAAGGUCCCUAAAUCUUACUUAAGUGGAAAACGAUGUGAAGUUACUUAAACAACCAGGAGGUUGGCUUAGAAGCAGCCAUCCUUUAAAGAAAGCGUAAUAGCUCACUGGUCUAGUGAUUUUGCGCGGAAAAUAUAACGGGGCUAAAGUAAGUACCGAAGCUGUAGACUUAGUUUACUAAGUGGUAGGAGAGCGUUCUAUUUGCGUCGAAGGUAUACCGGUAAGGAGUGCUGGAGCGAAUAGAAGUGAGCAUGCAGGCAUGAGUAGCGAUAAUUAAUGUGAGAAUCAUUAACGCCGUAAACCCAAGGUUUCCUACGCGAUGCUCGUCAUCGUAGGGUUAGUCGGGUCCUAAGUCGAGUCCGAAAGGGGUAGACGAUGGCAAAUUGGUUAAUAUUCCAAUACCAACAUUAGUGUGCGAUGGAAGGACGCUUAGGGCUAAGGGGGCUAGCGGAUGGAAGUGCUAGUCUAAGGUCGUAGGAGGUUAUACAGGCAAAUCCGUAUAACAAUACUCCGAGAACUGAAAGGCUUUUUGAAGUCUUCGGAUGGAUAGAAGAACCCCUGAUGCCGUCGAGCCAAGAAAAGUUUCUAAGUUUAGCUAAUGUUGCCCGUACCGUAAACCGACACAGGUGGGUGGGAUGAGUAUUCUAAGGCGCGUGGAAGAACUCUCUUUAAGGAACUCUGCAAAAUAGCACCGUAUCUUCGGUAUAAGGUGUGGUUAGCUUUGUAUUAGGAUUUACUCCGAAAGCAAGGAAACUUACAACAAAGAGUCCCUCCCGACUGUUUACCAAAAACACAGCACUCUGCUAACUCGUAAGAGGAUGUAUAGGGUGUGACGCCUGCCCGGUGCUCGAAGGUUAAUUGAUGGGGUUAGCAUUAGCGAAGCUCUUGAUCGAAGCCCGAGUAAACGGCGGCCGUAACUAUAACGGUCCUAAGGUAGCGAAAUUCCUUGUCGGUUAAAUACCGACCUGCAUGAAUGGCGUAACGAGAUGGGAGCUGUCUCAAAGAGGGAUCCAGUGAAAUUGUAGUGGAGGUGAAAAUUCCUCCUACCCGCGGCAAGACGGAGAGACCCCGUGGACCUUUACUACAGCUUGACACUGCUAUUUGGAUAAGAAUGUGCAGGAUAGGUGGGAGGCUUUGAGUAUAUGACGCCAGUUGUAUAUGAGCCAUUGUUGAGAUACCACUCUUUCUUAUUUGGGUAGCUAACCAGCUUGAGUUAUCCUCAAGUGGGACAAUGUCUGGUGGGUAGUUUGACUGGGGCGGUCGCCUCCCAAAUAAUAACGGAGGCUUACAAAGGUUGGCUCAGAACGGUUGGAAAUCGUUCGUAGAGUAUAAAGGUAUAAGCCAGCUUAACUGCAAGACAUACAAGUCAAGCAGAGACGAAAGUCGGUCUUAGUGAUCCGGUGGUUCUGUGUGGAAGGGCCAUCGCUCAAAGGAUAAAAGGUACCCCGGGGAUAACAGGCUGAUCUCCCCCAAGAGCUCACAUCGACGGGGAGGUUUGGCACCUCGAUGUCGGCUCAUCGCAUCCUGGGGCUGGAGCAGGUCCCAAGGGUAUGGCUGUUCGCCAUUUAAAGCGGUACGCGAGCUGGGUUCAGAACGUCGUGAGACAGUUCGGUCCCUAUCUGCCGUGGGCGUAAGAAGAUUGAAGAGAUUUGACCCUAGUACGAGAGGACCGGGUUGAACAAACCACUGGUGUAGCUGUUGUUCUGCCAAGAGCAUCGCAGCGUAGCUAAGUUUGGAAAGGAUAAACGCUGAAAGCAUCUAAGCGUGAAGCCAACUCUAAGAUGAAUCUUCUCUAAGCUCUCUAGAAGACUACUAGUUUGAUAGGCUGGGUGUGUAAUGGAUGAAAGUCCUUUAGCUGACCAGUACUAAUAGAGCGUUUGGCUUAUCUUUAAUAAAGCAU